CCUACGGGUGGCUGCAGUGGGGAAUAUUGCACAAUGGGCGCAAGCCUGAUGCAGCCAUGCCGCGUGUGUGAAGAAGGCCUCCGGGUUGUAAAGCACUUUCAGCGGGGAGGAAGGCGGUGAGGUUAAUAACCUCAUCGAUUGACGUUACCCGCAGAAGAAGCACCGGCUAACUCCGUGCCAGCAGCCGCGGUAAUACGGAGGGUGCAAGCGUUAAUCGGAAUUACUGGGCGUAAAGCGCACGCAGGCGGUCUGUCAAGUCGGAUGUGAAAUCCCCGGGCUCAACCUGGGAACUGCAUUCGAAACUGGCAGGCUAGAGUCUUGUAGAGGGGGGUAGAAUUCCAGGUGUAGCGGUGAAAUGCGUAGAGAUCUGGAGGAAUACCGGUGGCGAAGGCGGCCCCCUGGACAAAGACUGACGCUCAGGUGCGAAAGCGUGGGGAGCAAACAGGAUUAGAUACCCUAGUAGUC
This 465-nucleotide ribosomal RNA is filed under the name uncultured Klebsiella sp. RNAcentral's name for it is "bacterial SSU rRNA". It matches the Rfam family "Bacterial small subunit ribosomal RNA", at positions 338 to 795 of the family's 1533-position model. The record is from RNAcentral. Lineage: Bacteria; Pseudomonadati; Pseudomonadota; Gammaproteobacteria; Enterobacterales; Enterobacteriaceae.